Molecule: ribosomal RNA, 426 nt
Filed under: Necrodes littoralis
Lineage: Eukaryota; Metazoa; Arthropoda; Insecta; Coleoptera; Silphidae
Description: partial large subunit ribosomal RNA
Rfam family: Bacterial large subunit ribosomal RNA
Source: RNAcentral
CGGUACUUUGACCGUGCGAAGGUAGCAUAAUAAUUAGUUUUUUAAUUGAAAGCUGGAAUGAAUGGUUGAACGAGAAAAAUACUGUCUCAAGUUAAUUUUAUUAGAAUUUUAUAUUUAAGUUAAAAAGCUUAAAUAAUUUUAAAAGACGAGAAGACCCUAUAGAGUUUUAUAAAUUUUGUUAUUUUAAAUAUUAAGAAUCUUAGAGUUUAAAAUAUUAAAAUUUAUUUUAUUGGGGUGAUAGGAAAAUUUAAUAAAACUUUUCUUUAAUUAAAACAUUAAUUUAUGAUUUAUUGAUCCAUUUUUUAUGAUUAUAAGAUUAAAUUACCUUAGGGAUAACAGCGUAAUUUCUUUAAAGAGUUCAAAUCGAAAAAGAAGUUUGCGACCUCGAUGUUGGAUUAAAAUUAAGUUUUGGUGUAGAAGCUAAAA